Molecule: long non-coding RNA, 618 nt
Organism: Pezoporus flaviventris
Lineage: Eukaryota; Metazoa; Chordata; Aves; Psittaciformes; Psittacidae
Exons: 3
Source: RefSeq, a predicted model, not a curated record
AAACCACUAUGCAAAAUUAUACAAAAUCUGCACAGGAAAUACUCCUAAUAAUGAAUUCCACAAUGUUCUAUGAACUUGCACUAAAGAAUAUUAUAUUGGAGCUUGGAACACAAAACUGCAAGAGAAGGAGUGUCAGGUGCAACAAGUGAAUCCAAGGAAAGUGCCGAUAAACCUGCUGAUUCAGAUCCCAGUGACCCUGUACUGCUAGUACGAGCCGCAGGAGGACGAGAUUGUCUAAAACACAAAAAGAUAAAAAUGAAGAUAUCUUCAAGUUUCAAGUUGGUUGAUAAUAAAUUAAACCAUAUGAAAGAUCAAUACAGUACUCCACAGCUUGGAUGAGUUAGGUACAUUAAGGAAAGUCUCAUUAUGAGUUCAUACAACAAACCAGAUAUACGAUGCAAUCAACAGAACUGUAGUCAGAUGGAAAUCUGGAUGACUUGCAACAAUGGAUGCUACAUGAUAUUAGAAAGACGAGUUGAAGAAAUUUUCCUCUAGCCUAUCACAGAUUUAGUUCUGAACAUACGAAGUUUUGCUGUUUGUUUUUCCUGGAACUUUAUCCAGGAUUCUCUUUACAGACGUGCUCUUCUAAUACCUGUAGUUCAUUAACUUACACAGCUG